This is a small nuclear RNA of Meleagris gallopavo (turkey), 111 nucleotides long. The record is from Ensembl. NCBI's taxonomy places the organism in Eukaryota, Metazoa, Chordata, Aves, Galliformes, Phasianidae.
GUGUAUACAUCUCACCAGCAGCACACAUUCUAAAAUUGGAACAGUAUAGAGAAGAUUAGCAUGGCCCUGCACAAGGAUGACACACAAAUUCAUGAAUUAUUCCUUUUUUUU